RNAcentral lists this transfer RNA (71 nucleotides) under Chloroflexota bacterium. Its description in RNAcentral is "tRNA-Gly". It matches the Rfam family "tRNA". From Rfam's summary of the family: Transfer RNA (tRNA) molecules are approximately 80 nucleotides in length. Their secondary structure includes four short double-helical elements and three loops (D, anti-codon, and T loops). Further hydrogen bonds mediate the characteristic L-shaped molecular structure. tRNAs have two regions of fundamental functional importance: the anti-codon, which is responsible for specific mRNA codon recognition, and the 3' end, to which the tRNAs corresponding amino acid is attached (by aminoacyl-tRNA synthetases). tRNAs cope with the degeneracy of the genetic code in two manners: having more than one tRNA (with a specific anti-codon) for a particular amino acid; and 'wobble' base-pairing, i.e. permitting non-standard base-pairing at the 3rd anti-codon position. Lineage: Bacteria; Bacillati; Chloroflexota. The record is from RNAcentral.
GCGGGUGUGUUGUAGUGGUAGCAAAGGAUGUUCCCAACAUUCAAGCGCCGGUCCGAUUCCGGCCACCCGCU